Molecule: small RNA, 134 nt
Filed under: chicken gut metagenome
Description: Ribosomal protein L10 leader
Rfam family: Ribosomal protein L10 leader
About the family: This family is a putative r-protein leader autoregulatory structure found in B. subtilis and other low-GC Gram-positive bacteria. It is located in the 5' untranslated regions of mRNAs encoding ribosomal proteins L10 and L12 (rplJ-rplL). A Rho-independent transcription terminator structure that is probably involved in regulation is included at the 3' end.
Source: RNAcentral
UUUCAGUAUUGACUGCCGAAGACAGCAGGUGCCGCAAGGCAUAAGUUGAAAACGCCUGCCGAGGAAUCUACAAAGCUCAAGUAUAAGAGAAUUUUGUACGGCCUCUCUGUCUGCGGACAGAGAGGCUUUCCUUU